Molecule: long non-coding RNA, 540 nt
Organism: Pezoporus flaviventris
Lineage: Eukaryota; Metazoa; Chordata; Aves; Psittaciformes; Psittacidae
Exons: 2
Source: RefSeq, a predicted model, not a curated record
AAUUAGCUACCAAUCCCAGACUGGUUGCACUAAAUGGAGUUUUGUUGUCUUCCCUUUUCUGUUGCGAGUUAUGGCCUAUCUACAGAAUGGUAAGAUUUGUGUAUUGCCAUAAAAUGCCAUAGACCAGAAUUAUGACUGGGUCAGAGAAUAGAGGCUGAGCUGCCAGGUCCACUGAACAGCAUCGCAGCUGUCGUGAGAUGCUGCUGGGCGAGGAGACUUCAAAUCCCUUAAUACUAAUUCAGAAAGCCUGCCAGAAGUUGGCUGGAAAAUGCAUUUAUCUCACUGCUUCAAUAUUGCUACACAAAUGCCACAAUUAUUUUUCCUCAGCAGCUCUGUGAGAAAAACAAUGACUUGAGUGCAUGAAAAUAAAACCAGGCUGCCACUCUGGACACUGGUAGAGCCAAUGGUGAGAGAAGAGUAACAACUGGGAGCAAGCUCCUAUCUUCUGUUCACAAUUUUCUUGUCUUCAUUUCAGUGCCCAGCUUUCUCUGUAAUGAAAAGCAAAAUUUAAUAAAGAGAAGCUACAUUUGCUGAGUUUGA